CAGUAGCCGCGGGAAUACAGAGGGUGCGAGCGUUAAUCGGAUUUACUGGGCGUAAAGCGUGCGUAGGCGGCUUUUUAAGUCGGAUGUGAAAUCCCUGAGCUUAACUUAGGAAUUGCAUUCGAUACUGGGAAGCUAGAGUAUGGGAGAGGAUGGUAGAAUUACAGGUGUAGCGGUGAAAUGCGUAGAGAUCUGGAGGAAUACCGAUGGCGAAGGCAGCCAUCUGGCCUAAUACUGACGCUGAGGUACGAAAGCAUGGGGAGCAAACAGGAUUAGAUACCCCUGUAGUCCCUGUCUCUUAUAC
This 301-nucleotide ribosomal RNA is filed under the name uncultured bacterium. Its description in RNAcentral is "partial 16S ribosomal RNA". It matches the Rfam family "Bacterial small subunit ribosomal RNA", at positions 509 to 807 of the family's 1533-position model. The record is from RNAcentral.